This 448-nucleotide ribosomal RNA is filed under the name uncultured bacterium. RNAcentral describes it as "bacterial SSU rRNA". It matches the Rfam family "Bacterial small subunit ribosomal RNA", at positions 330 to 794 of the family's 1533-position model. The record is from RNAcentral.
GCCAGACUCCUACGGGAGGCAGCAGUGGGGAAUAUUGCACAAUGGGGGAAACCCUGAUGCAGCGACGCCGCGUGAGUGAAGAAGUAAUUCGUUAUGUAAAGCUCUAUCAGCAGGGAAGAAAAUGACGGUACCUGGCCAAGAAGCCCCGGCUAACUACGUGCCAGCAGCCGCGGUAAUACGUAGGGGGCAAGCGUUAUCCGGAAUUACUGGGUGUAAAGGGAGCGUAGACGGUGAUGCAAGUCUGGAGUGAAAGGCGGGGGCCCAACCCCCGGACUGCUCUGGAAACUGUACGGCUGGAGUGCAGGAGAGGUAAGUGGAAUUCCUAGUGUAGCGGUGAAAUGCGUAGAUAUUAGGAGGAACACCAGUGGCGAAGGCGGCGUACUGGACUGUAACUGACGUUGAGGCUCGAAAGCGUGGGGAGCAAACAGGAUUAGAUACCCCGGUAAGU